RNAcentral lists this ribosomal RNA (313 nucleotides) under uncultured bacterium. Its description in RNAcentral is "bacterial SSU rRNA". It matches the Rfam family "Bacterial small subunit ribosomal RNA", at positions 772 to 1079 of the family's 1533-position model. The record is from RNAcentral.
ACUAAAUAGAUACCCCGGUAGUCCACGCCCUAAACGAUGUCUACUAGUUGUUGGUGGAGUAAAAUCCAUGAGUAAACGCAGCUAAACGCGUGAAGUAGACCGCCUGGGGAGUACGGUCGCAAGAUUAAAACUCAAAGGAAUUGACGGGGGCCCGCACAAGCGGUGGAUUAUGUGGAUUAAUUCGAUGCAACGCGAAAAACCUUACCUGGCCUUGACAUGCCACUAACGAAGCAGAGAUGCAUUAGGUGCCCGUAAGGGAAAGUGGACACAGGUGCUGCAUGGCUGUCGUCGGCUCGUGUCGUGAGAUGUUGGG